Silurus meridionalis is the source of this 653-nucleotide long non-coding RNA. RefSeq lists it as uncharacterized. Lineage: Eukaryota; Metazoa; Chordata; Actinopteri; Siluriformes; Siluridae. The record is from RefSeq and is a predicted model, not a curated record. The transcript has 3 exons.
UUAUCACCAUGUCCAUGUGAGUUUUUCCUGUGUGGAUGUGUGUGUGUUCAUGGUGCCCUGCGAUGGACUAGCAUUUCCAUUUAGGGCCAGAACUAAAACACAAGAGCACAUUGACUCCACUGAAGAAAGCCCACAGCCAUACCUGCUUACCAUGGGUACAAAGAAGAACAGCAUUUAUUUAUUUUACAUCAUUCCCAACAAGAAAACCAUACCAUGCAAGUCAGUGAGUGGUUGUGCCUUUGAUGAACGUUUUAGGGCUCACUUUGUGUUUGGUGCAUCUUACAGCACAACAUGUUCUUUCAGACGCUUGCAUUCCAGUCUUCCUGGCUCUUUUAGGAUGUCUUGUUAAAAAUGUAAGUGACUGUAUUCGCCUUUCUAAUGCAAAUGCUGUCCCACAUGUGAGGUGGUAAGUGUAACUCAGUAUAGUGAAACACAUUAUGAUAGAAUAGUGAUGAGAUCAGUGUUAUCGCACCCCCCAUGCCCUGCAGUUUACCUGUCUCUCUCACUGGCAGUCACACAGAUCAGCAGGGCUUUGUACCAUAUCUUUCAAGCAUAGUCAUCAUCAGAAAUUUUGGACCAUGCAUUGAAAUAUUUGUCCAUAUUCACACAGAGUGCAUGUAAGAGUACAUUUCAAGAAGAAUACAUACUUCUUA